RNAcentral lists this small RNA (419 nucleotides) under Pan troglodytes (chimpanzee). RNAcentral's name for it is "retained intron". The record is from RNAcentral. Lineage: Eukaryota; Metazoa; Chordata; Mammalia; Primates; Hominidae.
GGCGGCCGCGCGGCGCGAUGGCGGCGGGGCUGGCGCGGCUUCUGUUGCUCCUCGGGCUCUCGGCCCGCGGGCCCGCGCCGGCAGGUGCAGCGAAGAUGAAGGUGGUGGAGGAGCCCAACUCGUUCGGGUGAGCAGCCUCGCGGGCUGGCGGCUCGGGCGGGGGACGGCUCGGGCCCGUUCCCCGUUGACCUUGCCGCUUCCCGUAGGGUGAACAACCCGUUCUUGCCCCAGGCCAGUCGCCUCCAGGCCAAGAGGGAUCCUUCACCCGUGUCUGAGACGGGGUUUCACCGUGUUAGCCAGGAUGGUCUCGAUCUCCUGACCUCGUGAUCUGCCCGCCUCGGCCUCCCACAGUGCUGGGAUGACAGGCGUGAGCCACCGCGCCCGGCCUCGACUUUAUUAUUAACACGGUAAAACUACAG